UACGUAGGGGGCAAGCGUUGUUCGGAAUUACUGGGCGUAAAGGGCGCGUAGGCGGCACAGCAAGUCGGGCGUGAAAGCCCGGGGCUCAACCUGGGAAUGGCAGUGGAAACUAGGGGACUGGAAUCUGGCAGAGGGGGGUGGAAUGCCGCGUGUAGCAGUGAAAUGCGUAGAGAUGCGGCGGAACACCGAUGGCGAAGGCAGCCCCCUGGGCUGAGAUUGACGCUCAGGCACGAAAGCGUGGGGAGCAAACAGG
Molecule: ribosomal RNA, 253 nt
Filed under: uncultured bacterium
Lineage: Bacteria
Description: partial 16S ribosomal RNA
Rfam family: Bacterial small subunit ribosomal RNA
Source: RNAcentral